Molecule: ribosomal RNA, 479 nt
Filed under: uncultured bacterium
Lineage: Bacteria
Description: bacterial SSU rRNA
Rfam family: Bacterial small subunit ribosomal RNA
Source: RNAcentral
UUAUGGCUCAGGAUUAACGCUGGCGGCGUGCCUAACACAUGCAAGUCGAACGAAAUAUCUUCGGAUAUUUAGUGGCGAACGGGUGAGUAAUGUACAGGUAAUGUACCUUCGUACUGCGAAUAACAAGCUGAAAAGUUUGCUAAUACGGAAUAGUUUCAUUAGGGGGCAUCCUUUGAUGAAUAAAGAUUUAUCGUGCGGAGAUCAGCCUGUAUCCUAUUAGUUAGUUGGUGGGGUAAUGGCCUACCAAGACGACGAUGGGUAACUGGUCUGAGAGGAUGAGCAGUCACAUUGGAACUGAGAUACGGUCCAAACUCCUACGGGAGGCAGCAGUGAGGAAUUUUGCGCAAUGGGGGAAACCCUGAACCGCAGCAACGCCGCGUGAGUGAAGACGGCCUUCGGGUUGUAAAGCUCUGUCGUGUAUGACGAGUAGGGACGGUAAUACACAAGGAAGCCUCGGCUAACUACGUGCCAGCCGCCGC